CCAGUGGACCCUUUCACUAAUACAAUCAUUCAUCGCUCCUGUUCAGGGAAGAAAGGAAGGCUGAAGCCGGAGACUCCAAAAAGCUGGACCAGAUUUUUACAAUUUCCCUUUAUCAUGAAGUGCCCACAGAUUAUAAUUCCCUGAGGGUAGGACCCAGCGUCCCAGUUCCUGGGUACCAAGAUGGAGCUGAGGGAAGAUUCAGCUCUCCCUGGCAGCUUCAUUGGCCUGGAGGAAAGCUUCGGGCAGCGACUUCGAUAUUCACUGAAAUGUUCCAGAUAUACAGCCAUUGACGGGAGACUGUGAAAGCCACCAUUUCUCAUCCAAGUAGUUAAGGUAUUAAGCGGUGGUGAUGAGGAGGGUGAGGAGGGCAAUUGAUGGGAGGGUGGCUAAAUAAGUGAUGGCAUAGCCGUGAAGGAAUAUUAUGCAUCCAUUAAAAAUACAUAUGCAAAGAAUAUUUAAUGGCCUGGAAGAUGCUCACAGUUUAAGAGUAAGUUAAAAAAAAAAAAGAGAACUUAGAACUGCAUAUUCAGGACAAGCCACGUGUGUGGAAAGAGAACUAGGAAGAAAUGUGUCAAAAGUUUCCUUCCUUAUGCAUGUAUGGAUUUUCCAUCUUCCCUGCAAUUUAGCUUUAUUCCAUGUAGUUUAAAAUCUUUCUUGAUGUUAAAACCUUUUUCAAGUACAAAAUAAAACAUUCUCUGUGUAGAAAUAAAUUCAAAUUAUAUUAUAAAUGAAAGCUGUUUUCUGCCAUAGCUUUUGCUAAUCAUUUGGUAUAUAGUCUAUAGAAUUUGUAUGUGGUGUGUAUAUAUAGAUAAUAUUUAUAUUGUUGCUGUUGUUUAGAUACUAAGUUGUGUCCUACUCCUUUUGGCUCCGUGGACUGUAGCCUGCCAGGUUUCCCUGUCCAUGGGAUUUCCCAGGCAGGAAUACUGGGGUGGACAGCCAUUUCCUUCUCCAGGAAGGAUCUCUCCCGACCCAGAAAUCAAACCUGCAUCUCCUCCAUUAGCUGGUGGAUAUUUUACCAC
RNAcentral lists this long non-coding RNA (1019 nucleotides) under Capra hircus (goat). Its description in RNAcentral is "lncRNA (ENSCHIG00010029438.1)". Lineage: Eukaryota; Metazoa; Chordata; Mammalia; Artiodactyla; Bovidae. The record is from RNAcentral.